RNAcentral lists this transfer RNA (74 nucleotides) under bacterium. Its description in RNAcentral is "tRNA-Ala". It matches the Rfam family "tRNA". From Rfam's summary of the family: Transfer RNA (tRNA) molecules are approximately 80 nucleotides in length. Their secondary structure includes four short double-helical elements and three loops (D, anti-codon, and T loops). The record is from RNAcentral. RNAcentral also lists the same sequence under 2 other names.
GGGGAUGUAGCUCAGUUGGCUAGAGCACUUCGUUCGCAACGAAGGGGUCGGCGGUUCGAUUCCGCUCAUCUCCA